CCGAGUUCUCCUUGAGGUGCUAACCAUGUCCUUCAAGCGCCUCUUGACGAUCUCAUUGAAGUAAUAUUGGACAGUCCAUGUGAUUAAGGGAUCCUAGUGGUGAGUUUUCUACAAAAAAAGGAAGAAGUUAGUGAACUGAACUUGAGCAGACAAUAAAACAAAGACUGAACAAAGCAAAGAGUCAGGAAGCUUACCGCGAACUCUAAAAACAGUCUCUCUCUUUUAGCCAAUGGAACACAUGACCAAUUAUAGUAAGGAGCAUUGAACUUUUGAGUAAAGAUCCUUGUGAUCUUUCGAACCAGUUUAGACCCUCUGUCGCGAGUAAACCUCCAAGCACAUGCAACAAUGAAAGAAGUAAACAUGUU
Molecule: small RNA, 365 nt
Filed under: Arabidopsis thaliana (thale cress)
Lineage: Eukaryota; Viridiplantae; Streptophyta; Magnoliopsida; Brassicales; Brassicaceae
Description: ATSL044750
Source: RNAcentral